This 1004-nucleotide ribosomal RNA is filed under the name Pseudomonas sp. RNAcentral's name for it is "bacterial SSU rRNA". It matches the Rfam family "Bacterial small subunit ribosomal RNA", at positions 39 to 1043 of the family's 1533-position model. The record is from RNAcentral. Lineage: Bacteria; Pseudomonadati; Pseudomonadota; Gammaproteobacteria; Pseudomonadales; Pseudomonadaceae.
GGGGGAGGCCUAACCUGCAAGUCGAGCGGUAGAGAGAAGCUUGCUUCUCUUGAGAGCGGCGGACGGGUGAGUAAUGCCUAGGAAUCUGCCUGGUAGUGGGGGAUAACGUUCGGAAACGGACGCUAAUACCGCAUACGUCCUACGGGAGAAAGCAGGGGACCUUCGGGCCUUGCGCUAUCAGAUGAGCCUAGGUCGGAUUAGCUAGUUGGUGAGGUAAUGGCUCACCAAGGCGACGAUCCGUAACUGGUCUGAGAGGAUGAUCAGUCACACUGGAACUGAGACACGGUCCAGACUCCUACGGGAGGCAGCAGUGGGGAAUAUUGGACAAUGGGCGAAAGCCUGAUCCAGCCAUGCCGCGUGUGUGAAGAAGGUCUUCGGAUUGUAAAGCACUUUAAGUUGGGAGGAAGGGUUGUAGAUUAAUACUCUGCAAUUUUGACGUUACCGACAGAAUAAGCACCGGCUAACUCUGUGCCAGCAGCCGCGGUAAUACAGAGGGUGCAAGCGUUAAUCGGAAUUACUGGGCGUAAAGCGCGCGUAGGUGGUUUGUUAAGUUGGAUGUGAAAUCCCCGGGCUCAACCUGGGAACUGCAUUCAAAACUGACUGACUAGAGUAUGGUAGAGGGUGGUGGAAUUUCCUGUGUAGCGGUGAAAUGCGUAGAUAUAGGAAGGAACACCAGUGGCGAAGGCGACCACCUGGACUAUUACUGACACUGAGGUGCGAAAGCGUGGGGAGCAAACAGGAUUAGAUACCCUGGUAGUCCACGCCGUAAACGAUGUCAACUAGCCGAUGGAAGCCUUGAGCUUUUAUUGGCGCAGCUAACGCAUUAAGUUGACCGCCUGGGGAGUACGGCCGCAAGGUUAAGACUCAAAUGAAUUGACGGGAGCCCGCACAAGCGGUGGAACAUGUGGAUUAAUUCGAAUCAACGCGAAGAACCUUACCAGGCCUUGACAUCCAUGGACUUUCUAAAGAUAGAUUGGAGCCUUCGGGACCUUGAGACAGUGCUG